This 3583-nucleotide long non-coding RNA is filed under the name Citrus maxima (pomelo). RNAcentral's name for it is "long non-coding RNA (CMAX_LNC001849)". Lineage: Eukaryota; Viridiplantae; Streptophyta; Magnoliopsida; Sapindales; Rutaceae. The record is from RNAcentral.
UAGCAACAGCAGCCAUUCACCUUUUUCUGCUAAGCUUGUACGUGGUGAACGAUCAACCUCGUUUGUAUGGGGAAGCAUUAGGAAGCAUUGCCUCAACUCAUCAUCACAUGUUCCACCACCCCCACAACAGCGUUUUGACAAAAGGAAAUGGUAGAAAAGAAAAAUGAAUCCACAGUAGUUAGUUCAGAGCAGCUCAAGUAAUUGAAAGUGUCCACAAAACACACCAGUUUCUUGGUAACCAAACAGGAAUCUAUUAAAGAAUCAUCUUGAAACUCGAUAAACAACCAUGAGAUGCAUGAACUUGGGCGCAUUCAAGAAUAGAAACCUUAGCGCAACAUUUCCAGACAGCUCAACAGGACUUGUGCAUGUCAACUUUCUUGCAUUACAACCAAUCACCAAUUCAAUCAAAUGGUUUAGUCUCAUAAAGUUUAAACAUUCUAAGUCACAACUAACUUUAGAACCCAUACAUAUUUUAACAAAAUUGAGCAAAUUCCAGGAGUUAAAGAGACUUCUUGAACUAAACAUUGCUUAGAAAAGUGCUUUAGAAAUGAUAUUGCAUAUUUUUCUAGCAAUGAUUAUUGAAAAGAUGACUUCUCACAGAGGUAGCAUUACAUGCCAACAUUCAUUUAAAUUGAGGUCAACAGGUAUCUGGCAGCACUUCCAAGAAAUAUCACAUAACUGCACAGCACCAGUAUCAUGACAACUACGCAGAUUUCAUAUAAAUCCUGGUAAAACACCAAUAACACAGCAGAGUAGAAAGAUUUCCUGAAUCUUGGAGCCUUUCUUAACAAAGUUAUGGAGUGUAGAAUUCAACUGUCCAGACAAUUUGGGGAAAGGAACCCAAAGAAAGAAGAACGCAUAAUAACCUCAAAAAUUAAAUUAACCAUGAUGGUCUAGCUCACUGACGCAAGCAGAAAUUCAGAAAAGGAAAAAAUCUGGGAGAAAGAACCAACAGCACGCAGAAUGCAUAACCUCAAGACUAAAUUAACCACAUUGGUCUAGUUACCAACACAGGCAGAAUAAUCAAAAUCAGAGGCAGAGGCACCAUUAAGGAUUUUGGUGAAGUGUAAAAUCUCAUAGUUCAGCAAUAGAGAUGGAAAUCCCAUAUUUAAAGGAGGAAAACAAAUUAACACCACCAGCAUGUGAAUAGAUAUGUACAAGGAUAGCCCUACCACCAAUUGCUUUCACAACUUCUCAUCCCAGUAACAAGGUCCACUAGUCCACCGAACAAUUUACAAUAAUUUCAAGUAAAUACGAAGCCAUCUUCCUACCCAAACAAAGGAUCACCACAUAUACAGAACACACGCUGAUACUGUUGGCGACGAGAAUGAAAUCAAACAUCUCAAACUAUGACAAUGACACUUCAUUUCUUAUAACUGAAGCCCAAACCUGUCCACAUCUAUAUUCUAGCAAGGCAGGUGAAAUAUGACAGCCAAAUAUACAUUUUCCCAACCAUCACCAACAUCAGUUGCAUAUCAAACUUUGCAACAAUCAAUGAAUCACCGAUCUUAGCUGCUCUCACGAACAGGAAAUCAAACAACCACAAGUAAUAAUCCACUAUGGUUGGAAAAGCCGACAGUGGAGAAAAGAAAGAUAACCGAAAAGACCUCUAGAAGCCACCAACAAGACACAGUCCAACUCAAAACAAUAUAUGUAUGUAUUCAAAGAGAAUUACCGACCAGCAACCUGCAGGUGCUACUACAACUUGUAUGUAUGAAUAUAACAACUGCAAAAUGUCACCACAAGAUAAACUAAAUAUCCAAAGAUGCCUUUGUAUGUGAAGAAAAUAUGGGAUUGCAAAACCAGAAAAUUUUAUUUACUUCUCUGGAUAUUUAGUUUAGCUCGUUGGUUGUCAUUUUGCAGCGAUUUUAUUUGCAUACACAAGUUGUAGUAACACCUACAACAAGGGAUGAAUAUCAGUCAUGGACAAACAAAUCGUUCCAUCAUUGUUAUCCAAAAGAAAUUAAAAUGCAACAAUAUGCUUUGAUAGUAAUUCCCCGAGCUUUUAUUGAAACAUCAUAUAUUAUAAGGUACAUGCAUUUCUUACACAAUAAAUAUGUAGGCAGAAGCAAAUGUUAUAGGAGGUUUCUCUUAAAAACAUUAAGAAAGAUCAAAAUGAUAAGAGAUAAAACACAGGUAAAGCAAUAUGUAAAGAAAACCUAACAAAAUAUAAAUUACAGCAACAACCGUACACAGUCGCUCCAAACAAGGAAAUAUGAUCUGAAUACUUGUAAGAGCUAUACUAGUACUUGAAAAGCCCAAAUGGCAAAUAUGUUCUGUCAUAAGUACAAACUAGGCUAACUCAGUCAUUUGGAAAACCAUCAUUCAGAAAUAAACCACAUCUUAAAGGUGCAGAUCAAGACAUCAAGCGAAGAAGUGGCCGUAAAAGCAAAGCUAAUACAAUCAUAUAGUCUGCAUUACGAAAUCACCAGAACCACAAAAAGCAUCUGCGCCAACAAGCUGUCAUACACCUGAAUCAAACACCCAUUCACAACUCAAUUCAUCAUUCCGCAUCAUCAACAAAACAAAGGUCAUACAAAACUACAGCUAGUAACCAAACAAACUAAGAAAAACUAAUACUGCAACAGAGCUUAACAUGAGAUGCAAAAAAUAAGAAACUACAAGCAAAUAAGCAUACAUUUUUUAGAGCACAUCAAAAUUAAUCACAAGGCAGAGCAACUCAUUGAGAUUAUAAUGGGGCUGCUUUCAAGUAGAAGAGCUUCUUUAGACCAGACUUUAGCACUACUGGGUUUGAUACAUAACAAUGCGAAAGAACCAGUUACAAGUCAUCAACUUUAUAGGUUAUUUUUACAUUGUUAACAGCAUUACUAAUCGUAUAGGCAUGUUAGUUUAAUCAGGUGUUGCAUUGUUAGAGGAAAUCAAUUAUAAAGGACCAUAAUUGCAAACCAUCCCAGACUCCUGAUAUCCAUAACAUAUGAACACCACAAUGGAAGUGGUGGCAAUGCAGCAGAAAACAAGAAUUGUAUGAGUGCCACAGAUAAAAUUCACGUUGCAACAAACAUGCAAUGACGUCAUUAGAACGAGAGAAUGAAAACGUUUAAUUACAGAACAAGAGAAGGCUGGAUACUUCUGGAUUACCCCACUGUUAUCACCCCAGUAUUUGCCAGUUAAAAUUGCAAAAACAACAGACAGUAAACGAAUCGAAUAAACACGUGAACAAAUAGAUUACAAAGAUAACAAUCAAAUACCAAAUGUGGAAAAAGCAAAAUCAAAGAAAAAAAUGAAAAAAAAAUAACUGGGCUAACAAGGAAUUAGCAUACAAUAAGAUGAAUUAAGCAGCAAACAGACUACUACAACAAUGAACAAGCAAAACCAGAAAAACAGGUCCAUACAUUCUACCAAAACCAUUAUAAUAAAAGCACCAAAACUAUGAGCACAUUAAUCAAUGAGAAAACACAUAAUGAAGGAAGACUACCUCAAUAGUAAGGCGGCACGUUCGGGUACAUUCCACCAGGAGGAACUCUAGGAACUGGAGACGUCCCUGCUGCCUGGUGAUGCUGACUUGGAUAACCGGCCGAAGUAGAUGACAAGCCGUAAUGCCCGGCUUCAGGAUACCCUCCAG